RNAcentral lists this ribosomal RNA (253 nucleotides) under uncultured bacterium. Its description in RNAcentral is "partial 16S ribosomal RNA". It matches the Rfam family "Bacterial small subunit ribosomal RNA", at positions 524 to 776 of the family's 1533-position model. The record is from RNAcentral.
GACAGAGGGUGCAAACGUUGCUCGGAAUCACUGGGCGUAAAGGGCGUGUAGGCGGGCAGGUAAGUCAGAUGUGAAAUCCCUGGGCUCAACCCAGGAACUGCAUUUGAAACUCCCUUUCUUGAGUGUCGGAGAGGAAAGUGGAAUUCCUGGUGUAGAGGUGAAAUUCGUAGAUAUCAGGAGGAACACCGGUGGCGAAGGCGGCUUUCUGGACGACAACUGACGCUGAGACGCGAAAGCGUGGGGAGCAAACAGG